Molecule: long non-coding RNA, 1128 nt
Filed under: Canis lupus familiaris (dog)
Lineage: Eukaryota; Metazoa; Chordata; Mammalia; Carnivora; Canidae
Description: lncRNA (ENSCAFG00030018930.1)
Source: RNAcentral
AUGGGAAUUUCACAUACUUACACCCACCCACACACACACCAAGCAGCAACAUGGGAAUUUCACACACUCACACACAUACCAGGCAGCAUCAUGGGAAUUUCACACACACACACACACACACACACACACCAGGCAGCAACAUGGGAAUUUCACACACACACACACACACACACACACACACACACACACCAGGCAGCAUCAUGGGAAUUUCACAUACACAUCAGGCAGCAACAUGGGAAUUUCACACACACACACAGACACACACACACACACACACAUAUACUAGGCAGCAUCAUGGGAAUUUCACAUACACACACAUACACACACACACCAGGCAGGAACAUGGGAAUUUCACACCCACACACCCACACACACACCAGGCAGCAACAUGGGAAUUUCACACACUCACAGACACACACACACACACACGAGGCAGCAUCAUGGGAAUUUCACACACACACACACACACACACACACACACCAGGCAGCAUCAUGGGAAUUUCACAUACUUACACCCACCCACACACACACCAAGCAGCAACAUGGGAAUUUCACACACUCACACACAUACCAGGCAGCAUCAUGGGAAUUUCACACACACACACACACACACACACACACACACCAGGCAGCAACAUGGGAGUUUCACACACACACACACACACACACACACACACACACACACACCAGGCAGCAUCAUGGGAAUUUCACAUACACAUCAGGCAGCAACAUGGGAAUUUCACACACACACAGACACACACACACACACACACACACACAUAUACUAGGCAGCAUCAUGGGAAUUUCACAUACACACACAUACACACACACACCAGGCAGGAACAUGGGAAUUUCACACCCACACACCCACACACACACCAGGCAGCAACAUGGGAAUUUCACACACUCACAGACACACACACACACACACGAGGCAGCAUCAUGGGAAUUUCACACACACACACACACACACACCAGGCAGCAUCAUGGGAAUUUCACACACUCACAGACACACACAUACACAUACACACACACAAAGCAGCAACAUGGGAAUUUCACACACACACACAGACACACACCAGGCAGCAAUAUGAGAAUUUCAAACACACACACAUACAUACCCAUUAA